GACGAACGUUGGCGGCGUGCUUAACACAUGCAAGUCGAACGGAAAGGCCCUGCUUUUGUGGGGUGCUCGAGUGGCGAACGGGUGAGUAACACGUGAGUAACCUGCCCUUGACUUUGGGAUAACUUCAGGAAACUGGGGCUAAUACCGGAUAGGAGCUCCUGCUGCAUGGUGGGGGUUGGAAAGUUUCGGCGGUUGGGGAUGGACUCGCGGCUUAUCAGCUUGUUGGUGGGGUAGUGGCUUACCAAGGCUUUGACGGGUAGCCGGCCUGAGAGGGUGACCGGCCACAUUGGGACUGAGAUACGGCCCAGACUCCUACGGGAGGCAGCAGUGGGGAAUAUUGCACAAUGGGCGGAAGCCUGAUGCAGCAACGCCGCGUGCGGGAUGACGGCCUUCGGGUUGUAAACCGCUUUCGCCUGUGACGAAGCGUGAGUGACGGUAAUGGGUAAAGAAGCACCGGCUAACUACGUGCCAGCAGCCGCGGUGAUACGUAGGGUGCGAGCGUUGUCCGGAUUUAUUGGGCGUAAAGGGCUCGUAGGUGGUUGAUCGCGUCGGAAGUGUAAUCUUGGGGCUUAACCCUGAGCGUGCUUUCGAUACGGGUUGACUUGAGGAAGGUAGGGGAGAAUGGAAUUCCUGGUGGAGCGGUGGAAUGCGCAGAUAUCAGGAGGAACACCAGUGGCGAAGGCGGUUCUCUGGGCCUUUCCUGACGCUGAGGAGCGAAAGCGUGGGGAGCGAACAGGCUUAGAUACCCUGGUAGUCCACGCUGUAAACGGUGGGUACUAGGUGUGGGGUCCGUUCCACGGGUUCCGUGCCGUAGCUAACGCUUUAAGUACCCCGCCUGGGGAGUACGGCCGCGAGGCUAAAACUCAAAGGAAUUGACGGGGCCCCGCACAAGCGGCGGAGCAUGCGGAUUAAUUCGAUGCAACGCGUAGAACCUUACCUGGGUUUGACAUGGAUCGGGAGUGCUCAGAGAUGGGUGUGCCUCUUUUGGGGUCGGUUCACAGGUGGUGCAUGGCUGUCGUCAGCUCGUGUCGUGAGAUGUUGGGUUAAGUCCCGCAACGAGCGCAACCCUUGUUCACUGUUGCCAGCACGUUAUGGUGGGGACUCAGUGGAGACCGCCGGGGUCAACUCGGAGGAAGGUGGGGAUGACGUCAAGUCAUCAUGCCCCUUAUGUCCAGGGCUUCUCGCAUGCUACAAUGGCUGGUACAGAGAGUGGCGAGCCUGUGAGGGUGAGCGAAUCUCGGAAAGCCGGUCUCAGUUCGGAUUGGGGUCUGCAACUCGACCUCAUGAAGUCGGAGUCGCUAGUAAUCGCAGAUCAGCAACGCUGCGGUGAAUACGUUCCCGGGGCU
This 1346-nucleotide ribosomal RNA is filed under the name uncultured bacterium. RNAcentral describes it as "partial 16S ribosomal RNA". It matches the Rfam family "Bacterial small subunit ribosomal RNA", at positions 28 to 1381 of the family's 1533-position model. The record is from RNAcentral.